This 336-nucleotide unclassified non-coding RNA is filed under the name soil metagenome. RNAcentral's name for it is "partial contains 5.8S ribosomal RNA, internal transcribed spacer 2, and large subunit ribosomal RNA". The stretch from base 1 to 120 matches the Rfam family "5.8S ribosomal RNA", at positions 35 to 154 of the family's 154-position model. The record is from RNAcentral.
GAUGAAGAACGUAGCGAAAUGCGAUAAGUAAUGUGAAUUGCAGAAUUCAGUGAAUCAUCGAAUCUUUGAACGCACAUUGCGCCCGCCAGUAUUAUGGCGGGCAUGCCUGUUCGAGCGUCAUUUCAACCAUCAAGCCCCCGGCUUGUGUUGGGGACCUGCGGCUGCCGCAGGCCCUGAAAACCAGUGGCGGGCUCGCUGUCACACCGAGCGUAGUAGAUUUUCAUCUCGCUCAGGGCGUGCUGCGGGUUCCGGCCGUAAAAAGCCUUAUUUACCCAAGGUUGACCUCGGAUCAGGUAGGAAGACCCGCUGAACUUAAGCAUAUCAAUAAGCGGAGGA